Molecule: non-coding RNA, 87 nt
Organism: Ciona savignyi (Pacific transparent sea squirt)
Lineage: Eukaryota; Metazoa; Chordata; Ascidiacea; Phlebobranchia; Cionidae
Source: Rfam
GCUUAUCACCAUUCCAGAUUGAAUAUACCCGAUCUCGUCUGAUCUCCGAAGUCAAGCAAUCUCGGGCUUGGUUAGUACUUGGAUGGG